Molecule: transfer RNA, 72 nt
Filed under: Stereum hirsutum FP-91666 SS1
Lineage: Eukaryota; Fungi; Basidiomycota; Agaricomycetes; Russulales; Stereaceae
Description: tRNA-Cys (ACA) (tRNA-Cys-ACA-5-1)
Rfam family: tRNA
About the family: Transfer RNA (tRNA) molecules are approximately 80 nucleotides in length.
Source: RNAcentral
CCCCCGGUAGCUCAGCCGGUAGAGCAGGGUGAUACAGUCUCCCCGUCGCUGGUUCGACUCCAGCCCGGAGGU